UGAACUGGAUGUGGUUUUCUGCCAUCAUCAUCACAACCCGUUUGAGAACCAAGGAUGUUGUCUAUGCAGUCUCCCUCUACCAACCAGACGAUUGGCACCAAAUACACCGCUCCAGACAUCAGGUCAGACGGGGUCAACAGCCGUCUCCUGCAAGUUCAGCCAACAGGGUCAAAGGUCAACACACAAACGCACUAUAUUAGGAGGAUGGAUGGAGGUGAAGCUCAUGGCCUCCUGAACAGAAGAAAGAAAACUGCUCCAUCUUUAAUCUUCUUCUGCUCCUGCUGCUGUGAACACUGACAUGGAGCUGCAGAGAUCAAAACUGAUCAACUGGGAGGAUGAAGAGGAUGAGAAAGAGGAUGAAGAGGAUGAGAAAAUGAUGGUGGUGGAGGACAGAGACUAUGAGUCAUCUGUCUCUGAAGAGAAGCAGGACGCUCGGACCUGCAGAAGAAACGCAGACUCUGAGCCUCCAGUCAACCUCAAGGUCAGAGCAGAACUCCAGGUGUUCAUUAUCUCACCUGAA
Molecule: long non-coding RNA, 520 nt
Organism: Xiphias gladius (swordfish)
Lineage: Eukaryota; Metazoa; Chordata; Actinopteri; Istiophoriformes; Xiphiidae
Exons: 4
Source: RefSeq, a predicted model, not a curated record